GGGGUCUGGCGGCGUGCUAUACAUGCAAGUCGAGCGAACAGACGAGGAGCUUGCUCCUCUGACGUUAGCGGCGGACGGGUGAGUAACACGUGGAUAACCUACCUAUAAGACUGGGAUAACUUCGGGAAACCGGAGCUAAUACCGGAUAAUAUAUUGAACCGCAUGGUUCAAUAGUGAAAGACGGUUUUGCUGUCACUUAUAGAUGGAUCCGCGCCGCAUUAGCUAGUUGGUAAGGUAACGGCUUACCAAGGCAACGAUGCGUAGCCGACCUGAGAGGGUGAUCGGCCACACUGGAACUGAGACACGGUCCAGACUCCUACGGGAGGCAGCAGUAGGGAAUCUUCCGCAAUGGGCGAAAGCCUGACGGAGCAACGCCGCGUGAGUGAUGAAGGUCUUCGGAUCGUAAAACUCUGUUAUUAGGGAAGAACAAAUGUGUAAGUAACUAUGCACGUCUUGACGGUACCUAAUCAGAAAGCCACGGCUAACUACGUGCCAGCAGCCGCGGUAAUACGUAGGUGGCAAGCGUUAUCCGGAAUUAUUGGGCGUAAAGCGCGCGUAGGCGGUUUUUUAAGUCUGAUGUGAAAGCCCACGGCUCAACCGUGGAGGGUCAAUGGAAACUGGAAAACUUGAAUGCAAAACA
This 640-nucleotide ribosomal RNA is filed under the name Staphylococcus sp. EA_L_7. RNAcentral describes it as "bacterial SSU rRNA". It matches the Rfam family "Bacterial small subunit ribosomal RNA", at positions 31 to 655 of the family's 1533-position model. Lineage: Bacteria; Bacillati; Bacillota; Bacilli; Caryophanales; Staphylococcaceae. The record is from RNAcentral.